Molecule: non-coding RNA, 438 nt
Organism: Coffea arabica (coffee)
Lineage: Eukaryota; Viridiplantae; Streptophyta; Magnoliopsida; Gentianales; Rubiaceae
Source: RefSeq, a predicted model, not a curated record
UACAAAAUCCAAGAAAGUGUUUGAAGUGAGAUGAAAUGAAGGAAUACAUAAAGCUUUAUAUAGAAGAUGGCUUCACCUGGUGGUGGUGGGGUUAAAUCAUACAAAUGAAUGGGGUAUACAACAAGAAGGAAGUUUCAAAGUAACAAUAUGCAUUUAUUCUUUCUGUCACUUUAUCAAUUGGAAGGACCUGAUUCCAACUUGGCCAUCUUAUCUGGCAUAAAGGGUGAACAUAACUUUGAUGUUGAUUACUAUUGUAAUAUACAUGGCAUGCAUGUCAGUUUACCCAUGUUUCCUCUGAUUGAGUUGUUGGUUGGGCAAAAAAGGAUUCAGGUCUCCCAUGUUUGUCUGUAAGUACCUACCAGUUACCACUUUACCACAUGGGCUGUGCUUGUACAGUUACAGCACUUGUAGCUUAUUACUGUUUCAGAUCCCUCCUUA